GGAUCAAAUUGUUGGUCGUGCUUCGGUACGCACUGGCAUUAUUGGUUCCUACCUUCUGAAGAACCGCGAUGUCAUUAAUUUGGUGUCGUGGGGAAUCAGGACUGUUACUUUGAAAAUUAGAGUGUUUAAAGCAGGCAAUCGCUUGAAUACAUUAGCAUGGAAUAAUAGAAUAGGACUUGGGUUCUAUUUUGUUGGUUUCUAGGACCGAAGUAAUGAUUAAUAGGGAUAGUUGGG
RNAcentral lists this ribosomal RNA (234 nucleotides) under uncultured Glomus. RNAcentral describes it as "partial 18S ribosomal RNA". The stretch from base 46 to 234 matches the Rfam family "Eukaryotic small subunit ribosomal RNA", at positions 693 to 886 of the family's 1831-position model. The record is from RNAcentral. Lineage: Eukaryota; Fungi; Glomeromycota; Glomeromycetes; Glomerales; Glomeraceae.